CAGCCAGGAUGUUGGCUUAGAAGCAGCCAUCAUUUAAAGAAAGCGUAAUAGCUCACUGGUCGAGUCGGCCUGCGCGGAAGAUGUAACGGGGCUAAACCAUGCACCGAAGCUGCGGCAGCGAACGUAUCACUUAAAGCGAUUCAGCGGGUUACGAUUGACGGAGCGAAGCGACGUCAAAGCGUAUACAAAGUCGAGUCGGUUUAAGGAUACGUUCGUUGGGUAGGGGAGCGUUCUGUAAGCCUGUGAAGGUGUGUCGUGAGGCAUGCUGGAGGUAUCAGAAGUGCGAAUGCUGACAUAAGUAACGAUAAAGCGGGUGAAAAGCCCGCUCGCCGGAAGACCAAGGGUUCCUGUCCAACGUUAAUCGGGGCAGGGUGAGUCGACCCCUAAGGCGAGGCCGAAAGGCGUAGUCGAUGGGAAACGGGUUAAUAUUCCCGUACUUGGUGUUACUGCGAAGGGGGGACGGAGAAGGCUAUGUUGGCCGGGCGACGGUUGUCCCGGUUUAAGCGUGUAGGCUGGUUUUCCAGGCAAAUCCGGAAAAUCAAGGCUGAGGCGUGAUGACGAGGCACUACGGUGCUGAAGCAACAAAUGCCCUGCUUCCAGGAAAAGCCUCUAAGCAUCAGGUAACAUCAAAUCGUACCCCAAACCGACACAGGUGGUCAGGUAGAGAAUACCAAGGCGCUUGAGAGAACUCGGGUGAAGGAACUAGGCAAAAUGGUGCCGUAACUUCGGGAGAAGGCACGCUGACACGUAGGUGAAGUGAUUUACUCAUGGAGCUGAAGUCAGUCGAAGAUACCAGCUGGCUGCAACUGUUUAUUAAAAACACAGCACUGUGCAAACACGAAAGUGGACGUAUACGGUGUGACGCCUGCCCGGUGCCGGAAGGUUAAUUGAUGGGGUCAGCGCAAGCGAAGCUCCUGAUCGAAGCCCCGGUAAACGGCGGCCGUAACUAUAACGGUCCUAAGGUAGCGAAAUUCCUUGUCGGGUAAGUUCCGACCUGCACGAAUGGCGUAAUGAUGGCCAGGCUGUCUCCACCCGAGACUCAGUGAAAUUGAACUCGCUGUGAAGAUGCAGUGUACCCGCGGCAAGACGGAAAGACCCCGUGAACCUUUACUAUAGCUUGACACUGAACAUUGAGCCUUGAUGUGUAGGAUAGGUGGGAGGCUUUGAAGYGUGGACGCCAGUCUGCRUGGAGCCGACCUUGAAAUACCACCCUUUAAUGUUUGAUGUUCUAACGUGGACCCGURAUCCGGGUUGCGGACAGUGUCUGGUGGGUAGUUUGACUGGGGCGGUCUCCUCCUAAAGAGUAACGGAGGAGCACGAAGGUUGGCUAAUCCUGGUCGGACAUCAGGAGGUUAGUGCAAUGGCAUAAGCCAGCUUGACUGCGAGCGUGACGGCGCGAGCAGGUGCGAAAGCAGGUCAUAGUGAUCCGGUGGUUCUGAAUGGAAGGGCCAUCGCUCAACGGAUAAAAGGUACUCCGGGGAUAACAGGCUGAUACCGCCCAAGAGUUCAUAUCGACGGCGGUGUUUGGCACCUCGAUGUCGGCUCAUCACAUCCUGGGGCUGAAGUAGGUCCCAAGGGUAUGGCUGUUCGCCAUUUAAAGUGGUACGCGAGCUGGGUUUAGAACGUCGUGAGACAGUUCGGUCCCUAUCUGCCGUGGGCGCUGGAGAACUGAGGGGGGCUGCUCCUAGUACGAGAGGACCGGAGUGGACGCAUCACUGGUGUUCGGGUUGUCAUGCCAAUGGCACUGCCCGGUAGCUAAAUGCGGAAGAGAUAAGUGCUGAAAGCAUCUAAGCACGAAACUUGCCCCGAGAUGAGUUCUCCCUGAGACUUAGAGUCUCCUGAAGGAACGUUGAAGACGACGACGUUGAUAGGCCGGGUGUGUAAGCGCAGCGAUGCGUUGAGCUAACCGGUACUAAUGAACCGUGAGGCUUAACCUUACAACGCCGAAG
This 1949-nucleotide ribosomal RNA is filed under the name Salmonella enterica subsp. enterica serovar Infantis. Its description in RNAcentral is "partial 23S ribosomal RNA". Lineage: Bacteria; Pseudomonadati; Pseudomonadota; Gammaproteobacteria; Enterobacterales; Enterobacteriaceae. The record is from RNAcentral.